CAUGUUUCUAGCACGGACAUUUGUUGCAGACGGACAUAGUGUGAAACAAUGAAAAAACACGGCCAAAAACAAAAGAUAAUGACUCCUUUUCGGAGCGACAGCGUGCCGUACCAUCGGCAUAAUACUGCAACAACGUCCAGUUGGCUCCAAGCUGACUGGCAACUGCAUUGGUCCUGUUUCUUGCCUGCUACAUCCUCUGCUGGUUUUUCUACGAAAUUCCUUCCACUUGCCCGGCGUUUACACGUUGACAGCGAGGGAAGGCGUGCGUGAAAGACGGCCUUAUCUGCAAACGUGCACGAUGCCGGAGACGAUAGGCGGAGGAAUGAAAGGGCCGAGCUGUGAAACCGCAGCCAUCAAAGCGGGUUUUGCCGGCGGCGCCCACGGGAUGGCAAUCGCAUGCUGUGAGGGAGAACAGGAGAGGCACAGUCAGUCGUGGCACACGCACACAAACACACGGGUGGCAGAUCACGCACUGCGAUAAGAAAGUGCACUCGGGCGCCCGGCUGGCGGUUGAUGGCGUUCGGGCGGCGAGCGCACCUGCGCAGGGGCGUGUUUGCGCCGCCUCCACCGACCUCCAUUCCUUGCCAUCUUUCACCCUCGCCCCCAUCAUUUCACACCUCGCCUCUGUUUGCUUUGCUUGUCCUGUCAUCCCCUCGCCGCCCCCCACCCCCACCCUGAAUUAAGCCAAAUAACUCCGUGUCAAAAAGAGGCAACACCCACUCCACCGCCCUCCCUCCGCCGUCCCCGCAGACCUCCAACUCAUCUCCGCUGACAGAGGAAGAUGGGGGCGAGACGAAGCUCAGGAAUGUUGAGAUGCCGCGCUUCCUCCCCCGUUUCCUGUCAUUAAUCUAAAACGCAAAAAAAGAGCAGUCCCCAAACGUCGGGCCGUGGACCCCUGCCGGGUCCGGCAAAAAAUAUCUUUUAUUGAUCAUCAUCAGAGUCUGAAGGAACUUUGAUUUUCUAUCAGGCCAUUUGCCAAAAAACAACCUUUGUGAUGAUUGUUUUUUUUUAAA
Syngnathoides biaculeatus (alligator pipefish) is the source of this 1013-nucleotide long non-coding RNA. RefSeq lists it as uncharacterized. The record is from RefSeq and is a predicted model, not a curated record. Lineage: Eukaryota; Metazoa; Chordata; Actinopteri; Syngnathiformes; Syngnathidae. The transcript is spliced from 5 exons.